RNAcentral lists this ribosomal RNA (500 nucleotides) under uncultured microorganism. Its description in RNAcentral is "bacterial SSU rRNA". It matches the Rfam family "Bacterial small subunit ribosomal RNA", at positions 9 to 515 of the family's 1533-position model. The record is from RNAcentral.
GAGUUUGAUCAUGGCUCAGAUUGAACGCUGGCGGCAGGCCUAACACAUGCAAGUCGAGCGGAUGAAGGGAGCUUGCUCCUGGAUUCAGCGGCGGACGGGUGAGUAAUGCCUAGGAAUCUGCCUGGUAGUGGGGGAUAACGUCCGGAAACGGGCGCUAAUACCGCAUACGUCCUGAGGGAGAAAGUGGGGGAUCUUCGGACCUCACGCUAUCAGAUGAGCCUAGGUCGGAUUAGCUAGUUGGUGGGUAAAGGCCUACCAAGGCGACGAUCCGUAACUGGUCUGAGAGGAUGAUCAGUCACACUGGAACUGAGACACGGUCCAGACUCCUACGGGAGGCAGCAGUGGGGAAUAUUGGACAAUGGGCGAAAGCCUGAUCCAGCCAUGCCGCGUGUGUGAAGAAGGUCUUCGGAUUGUAAAGCACUUUAAGUCGGUGGGAAGGGAGGACGUAAGUUAAGUUAACUUACGUGUCGUUUGUUUACGUUACCGUUAACCAACGAAGU